RNAcentral lists this ribosomal RNA (497 nucleotides) under uncultured bacterium. RNAcentral describes it as "partial 16S ribosomal RNA". It matches the Rfam family "Bacterial small subunit ribosomal RNA", at positions 28 to 507 of the family's 1533-position model. The record is from RNAcentral.
GAUGAACGCUGGCGGCGUGCCUAAUACAUGCAAGUCGAGCGAACGGACGUGAAUCUUGCUUCGCUCAGGUUAGCGGCGGACGGGUGAGUGACAUGUGGAUAACCUCCCUAUCUGGCUGGGAUAACUUCGGGAACCCGGGGCUAAUAGCGGAAGAUAUUAUGAACCGCAGGGUUCAAAAGCGAAAGACGGUCUUGCUGGCACUGAUAGAUGGUACCGCGCUGCUUUAGAGAGUUGGUAAGGUAACGACUUUCCAAGGCAACGAUGCAUAGCCGACCUGAGGGAUUGAUCGGCGCUACUGGAACUGAGACACGGGCCAGACUGCUACUGGAGGACGGAGUAGGGAAUCUCGGGCGACGGGAGAAAGCAUGACGCAGCAACGGCGCGUGGGUUAAGAAGGCAUUCGGAUCGUAAAGCUCUGUUACUAGGGAAGAACAACUGUGUAAGUAACUGUGGACGCCAUGACGGUACCUAAGCAGAAAGCAACGGCUAACUACGUG